CAGGGUUUGAUCCUGGCUCAGGAUGAACGCUAGCUACAGGCUUAACACAUGCAAGUCGAGGGGAAACGGCAUUGAGUGCUUGCACUCUUUGGACGUCGACCGGCGCACGGGUGAGUAACGCGUAUCCAACCUUCCCAUUACUGUGGGAUAACCUGCCGAAAGGCAGACUAAUACCGCAUAGUCUUCGAUGACGGCAUCAGAUUUGAAGUAAAGAUUUAUCGGUAAUGGAUGGGGAUGCGUCUGAUUAGCUUGUUGGCGGGGUAACGGCCCACCAAGGCAACGAUCAGUAGGGGUUCUGAGAGGAAGGUCCCCCACAUUGGAACUGAGACACGGUCCAAACUCCUACGGGAGGCAGCAGUGAGGAAUAUUGGUCAAUGGACGGAAGUCUGAACCAGCCAAGUAGCGUGCAGGAUGACGGCCCUAUGGGUUGUAAACUGCUUUUGUAUGGGGAUAAAGUUAGGGACGUGUCCCUAUUUGCAGGUACCAUACGAAUAAGGACCGGCUAAUUCCGUGCCAGCAGCCGCGGUAAUACGGAAGGUCCAGGCGUUAUCCGGAUUUAUUGGGUUUAAAGGGAGCGUAGGCUGGAGAUUAAGUGUGUUGUGAAAUGUAGACGCUCAACGUCUGAAUUGCAGCGCAUACUGGUUUCCUUGAGUACGCACAACGUUGGCGGAAUUCGUCGUGUAGCGGUGAAAUGCUUAGAUAUGACGAAGAACUCCGAUUGCGAAGGCAGCUGACGGGAGCGCAACUGACGCUUAAGCUCGAAGGUGCGGGUAUCAAACAGGAUUAGAUACCCUGGUAGUCCGCAC
RNAcentral lists this ribosomal RNA (806 nucleotides) under uncultured bacterium. Its description in RNAcentral is "bacterial SSU rRNA". It matches the Rfam family "Bacterial small subunit ribosomal RNA", at positions 8 to 800 of the family's 1533-position model. The record is from RNAcentral.